This is an RNA transcript of Helianthus annuus (common sunflower), 1568 nucleotides long. RefSeq lists it as uncharacterized. The transcript has 4 exons. The record is from RefSeq and is a predicted model, not a curated record. Lineage: Eukaryota; Viridiplantae; Streptophyta; Magnoliopsida; Asterales; Asteraceae.
UAAAAAUAAUUUUGUUUGAUCUUGCGAUUUAUACAGCUUCUAUACACGCAUGAGUACAACAAGAGGCUUAACUGUUUGAGAAAGUUGUGGAGAUACCAGUUAUUCGUUAUAUCACAUCUUCGGAGAUUGAUAAAGUCGAAAAGCAUAUUUCGGAUAACGGACCUGUGUGGACAACAAAUGAGAGUGAAAAUGAAGAAGAAGAGGGUCGUUCAACGGAGGAGUAUACACUACGACCACCCGUUGACACCACAAUAAGCUACAAAAGAAGGACUGCACGUGUAGUACAAAACGUAGAAACCUAGAAAGACCCAAACGAUAACGAGAACAUUGAUGAUAUGAUGGAUUUCAGUUUUGAACUCAAUGAAAUGUCUCAGUUGAACCUUGAGAUGGGAGUUGGAACACAGACACAGAAAAUGAUGGACUAUUGUAACACUCCUGUUCCACUUUCACCAUCGGUAAUAUACGAUACAACCCAUGGACGAGAUCGAGAGGCUUCGAAAACUAACAAAAAGGUAAGCGCAAAAAAUAUUAAAUUUCACUUAAUCCAUUUAUUUUUAACAUCUGGAUUGUUAGUAUCUUAACUCAAAAAAUAUUACAGAACCUGUUGAAAAAAAUGAAAGCCAAUGUCAAAAAUAAAUUAAAAUGCUUUAAGAUGUUCAAGGAAUGAACAACUUAGUUUCAGAACCAAGUGUUUUUGGGAUCCGGAGAUUAUGGAGGCCUGUAAACAGUGGGAUAAGACACUUAGGAAUAAUCUCAUUUGUGUGCCGCCUGAUUCCAUUGAAGAACAUGAAACUGCACCCUCUGAUGUUCAUCAAUAGCAUGAAAAUGCAGCUUUUGAAAUUCAGCAUGGAGAUACUACAAACGAAGAAAGUAGACAGAAUGAAGAAGCUCAACAAGUAAUAUCCAAUGUUUUGGAACAAAUGGCAACAGAAACCAGAUGAUGAAGGAUUGACAAAUAAAGAAGAUGAUGGAGGAGUGAGACACCCUUAUUGCAAACAUUCAAACUGUCGAAACGGAUGUAUACACUUACAAACCACUUGUCAAAGAAAGUGGUGAAAACGAAACUGUUAUCGAAGAAACAGUGAACUUGGCAGAAUCUACACAAAACAUUCAAGAAAAAGUUUAAGAAAAAGAGCCAGAAGUGGAAGCAGUUUCUUUAGGAGAAACUACACAAAAGACCGUCAACAAACCGAUUCGGGUAUCGAAGUUGAGAAGGAACCAGAAGUUGAAUGCCCUUAGGUGUUGGAUUAGGAAUUGCAAUCAGUUGAGUCAUUUUUUAGCCUGGGACCCAUCCUGGAAGAAAAUAAGGGAAAAAAAAGCAGCUAGGGGGAGAAAAAACUCAAAGCCAAAACAAGUUGUACCAAAGGGGUUAAAUGAACUCCUUUAUAAAACAAUAGAGGCAGCCAAAAUUCGAGCCGAGAAAAGAUGUGUAGAGCUUGGAGACGCAUUUUGUUCCCCUUUCUACAACAGAGUGGUAAACAUGCACGAAGCACUCUUAAAUCAAGAAUUGACUGUGAUCCGAUAUACAUUUGCUACAUUUGCAAACAUAGAAAAUGAACUUUACCGAU